CCUACGGGAGGCAGCAGUGGGGAAUAUUGGACAAUGGUCGCAAGCCUGACCCAGCAACGCCGCGUGACGGAAGAAGGCUUUCGGGUUGUAAACUUCUUUUCUCAGGUACGAAACAAGUACCUGUACCUGAGGAAUAAGCCACUGCUAACUCCGUUCCAGCAGCCGCGGUAAUACGUCGGGGGCAAGCGUUAUCCGGAUUUACUGGGUGUAAAGUGCGUGUAGGCGGGGACGCAAGUCAGAUGUGAAAACCACGGGCUCAACCUGUGGCCUGCAUUUGAACCUUUGUUUCUUGAGUACUGGAGAGGCAGACGGAAGUGCGAGUGUAGCGGUGAAAUGCGUAGAUAUUAGGAGGAACACCAGUGGCGAAGGCGGUCUGCUGGACAGCAACUGGCGCUGAGGCGCGAAAGCGUGGGGAGCAAACAGGAUUAGAUACCCCAGUAGUC
This 443-nucleotide ribosomal RNA is filed under the name uncultured bacterium. Its description in RNAcentral is "partial 16S ribosomal RNA". It matches the Rfam family "Bacterial small subunit ribosomal RNA", at positions 338 to 795 of the family's 1533-position model. The record is from RNAcentral.